AAAUUUUAUUUUGGCCAGGAGCUGAAGUUGGUUGUUUAGUAGUAGUAGUUUGAGUAGUGACCGAAGUAGUAGUCUGGUGUGUGGUAAUUGGGGCAGCUGUGGUCUCUUGUGGAGCUGGGGAAGACGGUGGAGCUGGUGUAGUUGCAGAAGGUGUGGGUGGGACAGCUGUGGUCUCUGGUGGAGCUGAGGAAGAUAGUGGAGCUGGUGUAGUUGCAGAAGGUGUGGGUGGGGCAGCUGUGGUCUCUGGUGGAGCUGAGGAAGAUGGUGGAGCUUGUGUAGUUGCAGAAGGUGUGGGUGGGGCAGCUGUGGUGUCUUGUGGAGCUGGGGAAUUCACUGGUGCUAAUGUAGCUACAGAAGAGCUUGUGUUAACAUUUUCUCUUGAAGAUAUGGUGGUGGCAUUCUGGGGAAGAAAAGUCACAUUUGGAAGGGUAGUAAUUUUGGUGGCUGGUGAGGAUUUGGGAAUUUGGGGGGGUUAUUAGGUGAAGGUGGAAGCUUAGGCCUACAGCGUUUGUGCAGACAUUUAUAGGACUUUCUAAUGAACGGCUUCUGGUGAGC
RNAcentral lists this long non-coding RNA (555 nucleotides) under Homo sapiens (human). Its description in RNAcentral is "HSALNT0320160". Lineage: Eukaryota; Metazoa; Chordata; Mammalia; Primates; Hominidae. The record is from RNAcentral.